Pygocentrus nattereri (red-bellied piranha) is the source of this 161-nucleotide small nuclear RNA. RefSeq annotates it as U1 spliceosomal RNA. The transcript has a single exon. The record is from RefSeq and is a predicted model, not a curated record. Lineage: Eukaryota; Metazoa; Chordata; Actinopteri; Characiformes; Serrasalmidae.
AUACUUACCCGGCAGGGGUGAUGCCGUGAUGCCGUGGUUCACUCAAGGCGAGGCUCUGCCAUUGCGCUUCGGUGGUGCUGACCCUUGGGAAUUUCCCAAAUGUGGGAAUUGCGACUGCAUCAUUUUCUGGUAGUGGGGGACUGCGAUGGGGCAGUCGCGGU